AGGUCAACGAUCGGAGUUCUCUUUGAAGUUAAAAGCGCACUCGUCCAUCGUUUUUCGCGCCGUGCGCGCAGUCACGAUUAAAUGCUAGUCGGAGUGAAAAAAAAUCUCGAGUCGUUCGAGCGAAAGUAGAGAAGGUCGUUAAGUUCAUCCGGAGGAGUGUGGGCGUGUUUUUUUUUUCACUUUUAGCAUCACCGUUGAUCUGCUAUGCUGGCUGCUAUUGCUACGUUCCAGCUGGGCCACUCUCCAGAGUGUUGUAGCAAACGCAGCAGGCUUCCACCUUUAACACCUCGCUUGCUCACUUCAACUUCUAUAUACGUAUGCAUCGAUCUCACCAGUCGAACGACACAGAAGCGAAACUUGCUCGCUGCACAUUCUGACGGAGUAUCCGUGCUGUGUUUGGCACGGCUCGUUAGACGAACCCGCAGAGACUGCACUUUUUUCUUCCUCGCCCUUUGACAUUCGCGCAUUUUUUAUCUAAAACUAUUCUUAAACUGUCGAUUUUGCACUUUGAGUGUGAACUUGUUGCGACGAAAGUGAUUGCUAGUUUUUUAUUACGAAGAGUCGAGCUUUACCUAUUGAAAAUAAAUUGUUUUUAUGUAUCGCAAGGUGCUAAUUAAUCUUCGUGCGUGCACAUGAAUCGUGUCGAUCGUGCAGGUUGAGCGCGAACUUGUCGUGAAUGAAAGUGACUCUUUCAAUAACGGUCCGUUCUUUCCAACCAGAAAAGGUGAGACCUACUCCAGGCAAAUCUUUCGAAAUGUGGUAACUUGGCAAUUAUCUUUAGUGGAAUCGUUCGUGGAGAACAUUUGGGAAACACAAUCGAGUGUAAAUUGGACCUCGCUCGCAAAGCAGAAGCUGCAUGAGUUGAGCGUCGUUGGCAGACGAGUUCCGGGCCAAUACUUGAUGAAAUUUGAAAAAUAAUUCGUUGAAUCUCAAAAAGAGCUGAGUGAGUUUACAAUUGUGAAGUCGACCGAAAAGUCGUUUCAGAAGCAAAACGAAGUCUCGACUUUCUCGGACGAAGCAAAGAAUAAUUUCGAAAGGAAAAAAAGAAAUUUGAAGAGGUGACCGGGGAAGAGAAUCGCGAAGAGAACGAGAGGCAAUGAUGGGUAGGAAACGGUCGAAGUGGAAAAUUGGGUUCUAGCGAACACUGCACUUCGGUACGAAGGUCAACAGCGAAGUUCUCCUUUCGAUCUCUCUUAAGCAGUUCCCAAUGGUUGUUGGGAGAGAGUUGAGCUCGAGGGAAAAGCGUGAAAAUGAAGAAAAGGAAGAUCGAGGGUGGAAAGAGCCAUGGGGUGAGAGUACAACUGUUGCUAAGCUCGAACAACUUCAGCCAACUGUGCACCACAGCCAAGGAAACAACUGGCAGCAGUUGCGCCGACCUCCGGGCCACCCUGCACUAGCAGAAUAGUUAUUAUAACUCCAUGGACAAUCUUACAUCUCCAUCGAGCAUAACAAACACGGCUUACGAUGCUGUAUUUUAGUCAUGUGUACAUUUUAAUGUACGCAGUAAACUUGGCGAAAAGUAACAAAACUUUCGACUUGGACUCAUUGGAAUUCCAGCAAAACGAAGUAAACACUGUAACUGAUAUUUUUUACAUUGAUUCUAAGAAUUUUGUGGGUACCGUUUUAUCAAAAAUUCAUUUAAAAAAUGAGAAGAGAAUCUGAGGAAAAAGGAAUCGUUGUGAAAUCAGAGUCUCUAGUAAGCAGCUUCAAUGCUCCCUCCAAUUUUUUUCCUCCCAAUAAUUAGUGAUAACAAAAAAUAUUAUACUCGGGCUCUGAUAAAAAAAACAGCAACUCUUUUCCAGACAUAUUUCAUUCGAAGUAAUUUUAAUUGACUGUGUGGCUUUGCUCACGUUAAAGAAAUAUUCGAAAUUGAUAAUGAUCAUUCCGGCAUCUCAAAUUCAGUAUUUUCAAUAAAUUAUGUUAUCUUUAAAAAGAA
RNAcentral lists this long non-coding RNA (1936 nucleotides) under Venturia canescens. Its description in RNAcentral is "uncharacterized LOC122412071". Lineage: Eukaryota; Metazoa; Arthropoda; Insecta; Hymenoptera; Ichneumonidae. The record is from RNAcentral.